Molecule: small RNA, 569 nt
Filed under: Malus domestica (apple)
Lineage: Eukaryota; Viridiplantae; Streptophyta; Magnoliopsida; Rosales; Rosaceae
Description: sRNA MD04G0079800
Source: RNAcentral
UGUUCAGCUAUUUCCCAAAUUGACUUUGAGGAGAUGAUCUCCAAAUUUGACCAUGUGGUGAGGAAUUGCUACCCGAUUCCUUAUGCGGCUAAUGCCUUGACAGAGGCUGCAUUCUAGAGCCAGACGAACAAGAUCCUCAUGGUAGAAGCGGCUUGCAAGGUUGAGCUAGGCCGUCAAAUUCAGUUGGAGAGACAAUUGCAAGAAAGGAACACAAAUUUUGAGAAACUUAUAUUCAAGUGUGAUGUUCUAUCAGAGCGGUAGCUUUGUGAAGAAAGGAGGAUCGAUUACUUAGCCGUGCAGGUGGCUCAUCUUGAGGCGAAUUUGCACAAUCAUUGAAGGUCAAUGACAACGCGGAGUGUACACUUGCGGCAGAGUGAAGUUCAUUGGAUGUCGACAGAGCAACCAUUCAAUCAAAACUGGACGAGACUUAGCAGGAAGCAAACUUAAAAGAGGAGAUGCAUAUUGACACCUUCUAGCAGGCCAUUGACGAUAAUGCAUUAGAGCUGGCAGAGGCCCACACGUUGUUUGGAACAACGUUAGCUCGGAAAUACUUCGAGAGAUACGACCAG